This 779-nucleotide long non-coding RNA is filed under the name Triticum aestivum (bread wheat). RNAcentral describes it as "long non-coding RNA (TAES_LNC020085)". Lineage: Eukaryota; Viridiplantae; Streptophyta; Magnoliopsida; Poales; Poaceae. The record is from RNAcentral.
UUUUUAGUCAUUUUGUAUUUCACUCGCUUGGGGUGCAGCUCGCGGUCGCAUCCUAUGCAGCUCGCGUGCGCAUCCUAUGCAGCGCGCUGCGCCUAUCUGGAGGUUCCAUGGGCCUCCUCUCCCCACUGCAUCGCCCUUCCCGGCGGCCUACUGCAAACAUGGCGAGUAGAGUAUCAGGAGACGCAUAGUGCUCUUCUGCAUUUCAUUGAUUUUUGUGCUUUUCUAAACAGAAAAAAGUCCAAAUGAAGUCCUCUGUGGUUUGCUAUUGACGUUCAUUCUACUUAUUUUUGUAGGAAAGGUGAAGUGGUGUAGUUCGGCUGGAUGGCCCGUUCCUCAAUUUUGUUGUUGUUGAUAACUGCACUUCAUUAGUUCAUUGUAAAAACUGCAGUUCAUUACCACGAUGGUUAGUGAAAGUGUACCCCGUAGAAUUUUGUGUGGUUCGGCCAGUGGAGAGUGCCGAUAUGUAUGGGUGUGUGGCUGUGUAAAACUAUCGGUAGUUGUGUAUGCUUUGUAGCUCACUUUGUUCUCUUGCGCUGUUCGCUAUAUAACUUUUCCGUGGUCCACUUGGCAAACACAAAACAAGAACAUCUCAAAGCAGCUCACUUCUUAUUAGAUGUAGUUCACUCGCUCUGUCCCUACGGUCCACUUCCAGGCCCAACGCUUGAUGUCAAGUGCACUUCAUCUUGUUUUGGAAAAUUUGGUAGUCUCGAGGUAGUAUUGCGGUUCACCAAUGCUCAGCGUGAAGUGCACUCCAUCUUGUUUGGAAAAAUUUACGUCCC